This 595-nucleotide ribosomal RNA is filed under the name uncultured bacterium. RNAcentral's name for it is "bacterial SSU rRNA". It matches the Rfam family "Bacterial small subunit ribosomal RNA", at positions 338 to 956 of the family's 1533-position model. The record is from RNAcentral.
CCUACGGGAGGCAGCAGUGGGGAAUAUUGGACAAUGGGCGAAAGCCUGAUCCAGCAAUGCCGCGUGAGUGAUGAAGGCCUUAGGGUUGUAAAGCUCUUUUACCAGGGAUGAUAAUGACAGUACCUGGAGAAUAAGCUCCGGCUAACUCCGUGCCAGCAGCCGCGGUAAUACGGAGGGAGCUAGCGUUGUUCGGAAUUACUGGGCGUAAAGCGUACGUAGGCGGUUAUUCAAGUCAGAGGUGAAAGCCUGGAGCUCAACUCCAGAACUGCCUUUGAAACUAGAUAGCUAGAAUCUUGGAGAGGUGAGUGGAAUUCCGAGUGUAGAGGUGAAAUUCGUAGAUAUUCGGAAGAACACCAGUGGCGAAGGCGACUCACUGGACAAGUAUUGACGCUGAGGUACGAAAGCGUGGGGAGCAAACAGGAUUAGAUACCCUGGUAGUCCACGCCGUAAACGAUGAUAACUAGCUGUUCGGGCUCUACGAGCUUGAGUGGCGCAGCUAACGCAUUAAGUUAUCCGCCUGGGGAGUACGGUCGCAAGAUUAAAACUCAAAAGGAUAGUACGACGNGAGAGAGCGACGACGACGACGAGGAGGAGG